Fundulus heteroclitus (mummichog) is the source of this 461-nucleotide long non-coding RNA. RefSeq lists it as uncharacterized. The transcript is spliced from 4 exons. The record is from RefSeq and is a predicted model, not a curated record. Lineage: Eukaryota; Metazoa; Chordata; Actinopteri; Cyprinodontiformes; Fundulidae.
CAACUUUGACAUAAUCAUUGGUAAAUAUUAAGGUAGGAAGGAUGAGGUGUGUGGCGAUCUUCCUCAUCUUGUCUUUGGUCGUCCUCAUGGCCGAACCAGGAGAUUGUUUUUUCAGAUCUUUAUGGAGAGGGGCGAAGGCCGUGUUUAGAGGUGCCAGACAAGGAUAUCGAGCAUACAGAGACCAACGCAGAGAGGAGAAACUAAGGUGUGGCUCAGAACAGCAAGAACAAUUGCAGAAUGAACGCUGAAUCUCUUCUGGUGAUAUGAAGAACUCCGGCUACAGCUUAUUGCUUGCUCAAUUAAAAAAAAGGAUAUAUAGAGAUGUAAUAAUUGAUAAGCCUAAUGGAGAAGCUUGAAGCAUGACAUAUGGGAAUGAUUUUCUGCAUAACUCAAAUAAUUUUCAAGUACUGCAAAAUGUGCUUGUCUUGAAAGCUUGUAUGAAUAAACUUGUAAGACAGCAA